This 744-nucleotide ribosomal RNA is filed under the name uncultured bacterium. RNAcentral's name for it is "bacterial SSU rRNA". It matches the Rfam family "Bacterial small subunit ribosomal RNA", at positions 60 to 794 of the family's 1533-position model. The record is from RNAcentral.
AGUCGAGGGGCAGCGAGUAGAUUGCUUGCAAUCUACGUCGGCGACCGGCGCACGGGUGCGUAACGCGUAUGCAACCUACCCAUUACAGGGGGAUAACACUGAGAAAUCGGUACUAAUACCCCAUAACAUCCAGGGAGGCAUCUUCUUGGGUUGAAAACUCCGGUGGUAAUGGAUGGGCAUGCGUUGUAUUAGUUAGUUGGCGGGGUAACGGCUCACCAAGACGACGAUACAUAGGGGGACUGAGAGGUUAACCCCCCACAUUGGUACUGAGACACGGACCAAACUCCUACGGGAGGCAGCAGUGAGGAAUAUUGGUCAAUGGACGCAAGUCUGAACCAGCCAUGCCGCGUGCAGGAAGACGGCUCUAUGAGUUGUAAACUGCUUUUGUACGAGGGUAAACGCAGAUACGUGUAUCUGUCUGAGAGUACCGCACGAAUAAGCAUCGGCUAACUCCGUGCCAGCAGCCGCGGUAAUACGGGGGAUGCGAGCGUUAUCCGGAUUUAUUGGGUUUAAAGGGUGCGUAGGCGGCGCUUCAGGUCAGCGGUGAAAUACCGGGGCUCAACCCCGGGGCUGCCGUUGAAACCGGAGCGCUAGAAUUCCGAUGCCGUCGGAGGAAUGUGUGGUGUAGCGGUGAAAUGCAUAGAUAUCACACAGAACACCGAUUGCGAAGGCAUCUGACGAAUCGGAGAUUGACGCUGAUGCACGAAAGCGUGGGUAUCGAACAGGAUUAGAUACCCUGGUAGU